AGUCUCAUGAAAAAACGUACCCUGACUACGUUGGUCCAAUUUGCAAAACGUGGAGGGGUUACAAUAAUGGCCCUAGAAUUGUAUGACUGUUACAUUUUUUUUUCGCCUAUUCUUUUAAUGGCCCUUGAAUUGUAUGACUGUUACGUUUUUCUUUCGUCCAAGUCACGUGACUUUCAAGCUACCGGCCGUGAGAACAAAAAACAUGGCGGACAUUUCUCUCAUUUUUAGUGGAAAAAUCUAUAUUGUGAGUUAGUUUCUGCAUAAAAAUAAGUUUUGAUUACAUUUCUAGCGAGAAAUAUAUAUUUUAUUUUCAUAAUAUGCACUCAGUGAAUUUACAUAAUCACUCGCUUGCUCGAUGUUACGCAGAUUUUUCAGAUCUCGCCAGAAUAAUGUAAAACUGAUACGUUUUUGGUUGCUAUGGUUGCUGCCAGGGCUCGUCACAUGACGUCUUCUACAGACUAUAAUAAAUAAGAAUAAAUAGGAAGAGGCAACAAUAAAUGAUCUAUGCCAGCGCAAGUCAAUAUUUAUCUGGCCAGUCAACUGGUUUUUAAUUUUAAAAAUCCCUCGCAGUCUGAACUGCAACAGCACGGUCUGCGGUGAGUUAAACAACGUUCAACUGCAGGAUCAAUAGCAUUCAGCGGUGAGUUUAACAACCCUCAAAUGCGGUUAAAACAACAUUCAGAGGGAAGCUUUAUUUAAACCGCGUUCAACUGCAGAUAAAACAACAUUCAGAGGUGACUUUAACAACGCUCCACGGCGCGUGGGAGUAGCAUUUUAAGCGUUUUCUGAUCAUGUAGGUAAGUGCUUUGAUUACCUUUAGACGUGAUGCAUGCUGGGAGGCAAAUAUUUUUUUAUCAAAGGCUCGUUGAUGGUAAUAAAUAUACAUAUAAAUAUACAUUUUACUAUACUACGAUUGUGUUCGAUUAAUUAAUGGGUUGUUUAAUUAUUAAUUUGUUUAUUUUAAAUCCUGUAAUUUAACAACUCUGACGUCAUCGAAUGCGACGAUGCCAAGGUCCAUUGCGAUUUCCACUCGAAUUUGCCUUUGAAAGCCUACAGCGAACGGACGGUUUGGACUUCAGCCCUCUACUUCCUGCUUUAAUGAUGUCACUAGAACAGUUUUUUGACUAAACUCCACCCACAGGAAUACAUCAGUGGCCAGCUAAGCUAACGGUGCGAGCCAAGCCAAUUUUAUUUAUUGGGAAACAGGAUAAAAAGGCUUCGAAUAAGUGGGUUGCAUAUAUUAUUACCCAUUGGCACCCCACUCCUGUCACUACAAUUUUUUGGAGGAGAUGCGGAGGUCUUUAUCU
Molecule: long non-coding RNA, 1307 nt
Organism: Paramisgurnus dabryanus
Lineage: Eukaryota; Metazoa; Chordata; Actinopteri; Cypriniformes; Cobitidae
Source: RefSeq, a predicted model, not a curated record